UCUUGUGUGAACAAGCAGCACAGAAGCAAAUAAUUACAACAAAUAAUUUAAAUUUGUUUAAUUGAAACAAAAUAUAAGUAAUAUUCGAACUACAUAGAAACAUUGCAUUAAUUGAAAGAUUAACAAUAAUCUAUCGCUAGCAAUAUAUAGAAAUAAAAUAAAGGUACUUAAACUCCGCCAUCAACAUGAAUAAAAUUCAGUUAUUUGCUUGGCUUGGACUAUUAUUCUUUUCGCAUUGUAACGCAUCCCUUAAGGUUCGCAGAAACUUUAAAACUUUGGACCAUCGUCGACGAUACAUUAAUGAGCCGAAAUUAAGCCCAGUAACUCCUGCUGAUGAUGAUGACUUACAAAAAGGCACUGCCACACUGAUUAAUGCUGGACUGCGUGAUGUCAUAUUCAUUAUUGUAAUGUAUUUUGUAUACAGUUAUCCUCAUAGAUUUAAAUUUAAUGUUAUAAAAAAAUAUUGUAUAGCAUUUUAAACCAAAGGG
Stomoxys calcitrans (stable fly) is the source of this 488-nucleotide long non-coding RNA. RefSeq lists it as uncharacterized. NCBI's taxonomy places the organism in Eukaryota, Metazoa, Arthropoda, Insecta, Diptera, Muscidae. The transcript is spliced from 2 exons. The record is from RefSeq and is a predicted model, not a curated record.